GCUUAUGACCAUACCACCCUGAACACAUCCAGUCUCAUCUGAUCUUGGAAGCUAAGCAGGGUCUGGCCUGGUUAGUACUUGGAUGGAAAACUGCGCAGGAACACCAGGUGCUUAAGUU
This 118-nucleotide ribosomal RNA is filed under the name Amphilophus citrinellus (Midas cichlid). Lineage: Eukaryota; Metazoa; Chordata; Actinopteri; Cichliformes; Cichlidae. The record is from RNAcentral.